Molecule: transfer RNA, 70 nt
Filed under: Mytilisepta virgata
Lineage: Eukaryota; Metazoa; Mollusca; Bivalvia; Mytilida; Mytilidae
Description: tRNA-Arg
Source: RNAcentral
CCUUUGAGCUGUUUUAAAGCGUUGCGGUUUCGGCCCGUGGAGAAUAGAUAUUUUAUUUAUAAAGGUUAAA